RNAcentral lists this ribosomal RNA (1315 nucleotides) under Leuconostoc citreum. Its description in RNAcentral is "bacterial SSU rRNA". It matches the Rfam family "Bacterial small subunit ribosomal RNA", at positions 120 to 1423 of the family's 1533-position model. Lineage: Bacteria; Bacillati; Bacillota; Bacilli; Lactobacillales; Lactobacillaceae. The record is from RNAcentral.
GAUAACCUGCCUCAAGGCUGGGGAUAACAUUUGGAAACAGAUGCUAAUACCGAAUAAAACUUAGUAUCGCAUGAUAUCAAGUUAAAAGGCGCUACGGCGUCACCUAGAGAUGGAUCCGCGGUGCAUUAGUUAGUUGGUGGGGUAAAGGCUUACCAAGACGAUGAUGCAUAGCCGAGUUGAGAGACUGAUCGGCCACAUUGGGACUGAGACACGGCCCAAACUCCUACGGGAGGCUGCAGUAGGGAAUCUUCCACAAUGGGCGCAAGCCUGAUGGAGCAACGCCGCGUGUGUGAUGAAGGCUUUCGGGUCGUAAAGCACUGUUGUAUGGGAAGAAAUGCUAAAAUAGGGAAUGAUUUUAGUUUGACGGUACCAUACCAGAAAGGGACGGCUAAAUACGUGCCAGCAGCCGCGGUAAUACGUAUGUCCCGAGCGUUAUCCGGAUUUAUUGGGCGUAAAGCGAGCGCAGACGGUUGAUUAAGUCUGAUGUGAAAGCCCGGAGCUCAACUCCGGAAUGGCAUUGGAAACUGGUUAACUUGAGUGUUGUAGAGGUAAGUGGAACUCCAUGUGUAGCGGUGGAAUGCGUAGAUAUAUGGAAGAACACCAGUGGCGAAGGCGGCUUACUGGACAACAACUGACGUUGAGGCUCGAAAGUGUGGGUAGCAAACAGGAUUAGAUACCCUGGUAGUCCACACCGUAAACGAUGAAUACUAGGUGUUAGGAGGUUUCCGCCUCUUAGUGCCGAAGCUAACGCAUUAAGUAUUCCGCCUGGGGAGUACGACCGCAAGGUUGAAACUCAAAGGAAUUGACGGGGACCCGCACAAGCGGUGGAGCAUGUGGUUUAAUUCGAAGCAACGCGAAGAACCUUACCAGGUCUUGACAUCCUUUGAAGCUUUUAGAGAUAGAAGUGUUCUCUUCGGAGACAAAGUGACAGGUGGUGCAUGGUCGUCGUCAGCUCGUGUCGUGAGAUGUUGGGUUAAGUCCCGCAACGAGCGCAACCCUUAUUGUUAGUUGCCAGCAUUCAGUUGGGCACUCUAGCGAGACUGCCGGUGACAAACCGGAGGAAGGCGGGGACGACGUCAGAUCAUCAUGCCCCUUAUGACCUGGGCUACACACGUGCUACAAUGGCGUAUACAACGAGUUGCCAACCUGCGAAGGUGAGCUAAUCUCUUAAAGUACGUCUCAGUUCGGACUGCAGUCUGCAACUCGACUGCACGAAGUCGGAAUCGCUAGUAAUCGCGGAUCAGCACGCCGCGGUGAAUACGUUCCCGGGUCUUGUACACACCGCCCGUCACACCAUGGGAGUUUGUAAUGCCCA